GAUGAACGCUAGCUACAGGCUUAACACAUGCAAGUCGAGGGGAAACGACAUCGAAAGCUUGCUUUUGAUGGGCGUCGACCGGCGCACGGGUGAGUAACGCGUAUCCAACCUGCCCACCACUUGGGGAUAACCUUGCGAAAAUAAGACUAAUACCCAAUGAUAUCCCACGAAGACAUCUGAAUGGGAUUAAAGAUUUAUCGGUGAUGGAUGGGGAUGCGUCUGAUUAGCUUGUUGGCGGGGUAACGGCCCACCAAGGCAACGAUCAGUAGGGGUUCUGAGAGGAAGGUCCCCCACAUUGGAACUGAGACACGGUCCAAACUCCUACGGGAGGCAGCAGUGAGGAAUAUUGGUCAAUGGGCGAGAGCCUGAACCAGCCAAGUAGCGUGCAGGAAGACGGCCCUAUGGGUUGUAAACUGCUUUUAUAAGGGAAUAAAGUGGGUCACGUGUGACUUUUUGCAUGUACCUUAUGAAUAAGGACCGGCUAAUUCCGUG
Molecule: ribosomal RNA, 492 nt
Filed under: uncultured bacterium
Lineage: Bacteria
Description: partial 16S ribosomal RNA
Rfam family: Bacterial small subunit ribosomal RNA
Source: RNAcentral